CCACCUGUUCCCCCUCUCCUCUCCUUUUCCGAAAUAAAAUUUCCUCUUGACCAAACUCCCUUGAUUUUACGCUGGCAUUUCAUAGCCUUGGACAAAUUAUGCAGCAUUUAAAUCACUCCUAAUUACCACCUCUGUCAGCAGGACUUGGUACCAAGAAUGGAAGAGGGAGAGACCUGGAAAAAAAAGCGGAAAAAUCAGCUGCUGGGAAGGAGACUCAAGUAAUUGCAAGAGGCUGUCUUCUCUCUGGAAGGACUGGCAAUCAAGGAGAUCAAUCCACCCCCAGCCAAGCUUCACAUAUCAGGCUUCCCUAUGGAACUAGAAGAUGGAUGAAAGAAGAAGUGUUUUCAGAGGAGCUUGGAUACCUUGGAAAAAUCCCAGACCAGAUGGGGAGAAAGGAGCCCCGAGAUGUUCGUGUUUCUCACAGCUGUGAUAUUAAGACAACGUCUUUGGAAUUGUACUAAAGAGCUUGGAAGAGAGGAGGGAUAAAGCAGUCCUUUGCUGUAAGCACUCCAUGCUGUUACAGUGAUGGCCAUUUCCAGAUUGCUGUCGCUGAGGUGUGAAAUGUACAUAGGUACCUUGUGAAAGCAGUCAACACAAAGAGGAAUGGAGGGAAGCCAUAGAAACUACAGAGACUCCCUGAUGGAGAAGAGGUUUUAUGGCAAUGAGUGGCUAACCAAACCACAAGUUCCCCAAGAUUCGGAUCUCACCUGUCUUGUUAGCUGCACCUCAGUAGCUGCAAUUGGAUGCCUAGCACAUUAGGUGUAGACAGACUGAGGCCAGUUGAGGUAAUGAUUUCUCCAAGUUAGCAAGCAGUGGAGCCAGAAUGAAACCACAGUCCUCUGGAGGGGCAGCCAGCACUCUUCACCACGGAACCACUUCCCCAGCCCGUCUGAAACUCUUCACAGGACUCUUGAAACAGGAUGCAUCCUCACUGACUCAUGUCAACAAAAUAAUUACUGACUUUUGCUACAGCGAGUGCAACGAUUCGAAUGUAAGAAAAAUAAUUAAACGCAGUUCUUUUCUGUGAAAAGUUGUUUAUGAAAUAAUUGGCAAAAAUGUCUGAAACCCUGCACAGUAAAGUGAGACCAAUAACUGCCAGUAAGGGAUGUGCAGGGACAGAGCAGAGGGGGCUGUCUCUCCCGGUGGACAUGGCAGGGCGGGCUUCGUACAGUACACAGAAUGUGGGGUGAACCUCAAUUUCACUUAGAGUAUCAAAGUGACACUGUGAUUGUGAGCUUGCCUUUUAUUUUUUAUUUUGUUUUUGUAUUGAAGACUAAGUGUCUGAUCCAAAAUGGCCUUGGCAGGUUGGGGAAAAGGUUAGAGGCUGGCAAUUCAGAGUCUAGGAGGCAGUGCCUUUUCUUUUACUCAUGGUAGAUAGAGAGAAAGGGUGUGAGUCAUUUAUUAGCUCAACUUUUAAAUUUUUGCUAUUGUUGCUGAACGCCUACUAUGUGCAGAGGUGUCCGGUGAUGAUCAGAAACAGAUGCAUUGUGUGGAGGUACUCGGAGGGGCUCCUAUCUUCAUUACACAUAUAAGAUUCUGUACAUGAUUGAAUCCACUACUUAGACUUUAAAUAAUGGGGAAACUCGAACUUUCAGGAGAGCAAAGGAGGUAGAUAGAAUGUGGUUAGUGCUUCUGGCUGGAGAAAGAGCCAAGGGAGAGCAAAUUAGUUCAGCACUAUGUAGUUGUUCUCGCUGUGUUGUUCCCAUCAUCACUGUCACCGAAAAGUCAGACUGGUACUGCCUUGCGCACAUGGAGUCACCCUCAGCCAGCAAUCAGGCUCUGUAUGUGGAAGUAAACACUUUUGGCCAUCUUCAGAGUCUAGUAAUCUUAUUCUUCCAUGGAGUAAGAGCACAAAAAAGAAGCAAAAAGGAACAAGGGCCAGGGAUCCAGGGUUCGUUUCUUUUUGUCUUUGUCUUCUGCUAUCCACUUUAUCCCCUACCCCUGUCCAUGCCUUCUCUAAGAAAUAACUGAAAAUCUAGAGACCCAUGGCAUGCCUGCCCACAGGGCUCUGCUCAGUCACAUGUGCCUCACUCCAUUGUGCUGUUAUUUCAAGCUGUCAUUUUUCUGUCCCGAAUCCGCGUAGCACAAUGCCCUCAGUCUAAGCACCGUCCUGACUUGCAGUCAGAGAGCCAGCCUAUUGUAAUGAUGACUGCCAUAUUUAUGCAUAAGGGUUGAAACUGGAACCCAUUGUCCCUGCAGACGGGGAAAUCACAGAACAAUGGCUUCAGGAAGGAAUUGUUCACAGUCUGGCAGAAAACAGCCCUGCUGACUUCUGUGCAGUGCAAGAUGAUUUAGCGCUGAAGUACAAAGAAUAAUGACAGGGUCUUUCUUAGGACCCUCGUACGUGCAGACCAUGUCCACAGCAGCUGAGCUGACUACAGGAAUUCAGAAAAUGCCAGGGGGAGCAGUUUUUAACCUCUGAAAAGCUGUUAGUUACAUAAGCCUUGGAAAUGUGCUGCCUUGCUUUUUGCUCCGCAGGCGUGUGGAUCCCACAUCUUCUCACCUGUGCAGUAUCAGGCUUGGGAGGGAUUCUGUCAGACACUCAGCCCACUCUACUCCUACAUCUAUGGCUAAUUCAUUUGAGGGCUUUAGGGAUGUGCCUUCGAGCUAAUUCAUAAUAAAGGAUGGAGGUUAGUCACUAGGCAGAAGAAAGAAUUUCUCUAGAAGAGUGUUUUCUUUUCCUGGGAUAGAUAGGACUUUUGUCACAGUUGAUAUUGAAGGAUUUUUACAAUAAAAUUUGUAAAUCUUGA
Mesocricetus auratus (golden hamster) is the source of this 2750-nucleotide long non-coding RNA. RefSeq lists it as uncharacterized. The record is from RefSeq and is a predicted model, not a curated record. The transcript is spliced from 6 exons. Lineage: Eukaryota; Metazoa; Chordata; Mammalia; Rodentia; Cricetidae.